RNAcentral lists this ribosomal RNA (460 nucleotides) under uncultured bacterium. Its description in RNAcentral is "partial 16S ribosomal RNA". It matches the Rfam family "Bacterial small subunit ribosomal RNA", at positions 338 to 795 of the family's 1533-position model. The record is from RNAcentral.
CCUACGGGUGGCAGCAGUGAGGAAUAUUGGUCAAUGGGCGCGAGCCUGAACCAGCCAAGUAGCGUGAAGGAUGACUGCCCUACGGGUUGUAAACUUCUUUUAUAAAGGAAUAAAGUGAGGCACGUGUGCCUUUUUGUAUGUACUUUAUGAAUAAGGAUCGGCUAACUCCGUGCCAGCAGCCGCGGUAAUACGGAGGAUCCGAGCGUUAUCCGGAUUUAUUGGGUUUAAAGGGAGCGUAGAUGGUUUGUUAAGUCAGUUGUGAAAGUCUGCGGCUCAACCGUAAAAUUGCAAUUGCUACUGGCAGGCUUGAGUACAGUUGAGGUAGGCGGAAUGCGUGGUGUAGCGGUGAAAUGCUUAGAUAGCACGAAGAACUCCGAUUGCGAAGGCAGCUUACUAAGCUGCCACUGACAUUGAUGCUCGAAAGUGUGGGUAUCAAACAGGAUUAGAUACCCGGGUAGUC